This 29-nucleotide non-coding RNA is filed under the name Mus musculus (house mouse). The record is from RNAcentral. Lineage: Eukaryota; Metazoa; Chordata; Mammalia; Rodentia; Muridae.
UCACACGAGUUUCUGUACCACAGCAGAGU